GAAUAUUGGACAAUGGGCGAAAGCCUGAUCCAGCCAUGCCGCGUGUGUGAAGAAGNUCNNCGGAUNGNAAAGCACUUUAAGUUNNNNNGAAGGGUUGUAGGUUAAUACCCUGCAAUUUUGACGUUACCAACAGAAUAAGCACCGGCUAACUUCGUGCCAGCAGCCGCGGUAAUACGAAGGGUGCAAGCGUUAAUCGGAAUUACUGGGCGUAAAGCGCGCGUAGGUGGUUCGUUAAGUUGGAAGUGAAAGCCCCGGGCUUAACCUGGGAAUUGCUUUCAAAACUGACGAGCUAGAGUACGGUAGAGGGUAGUGGAAUUUCCUGUGUAGCGGUGAAAUGCGUAGAUAUAGGAAGGAACAUCAGUGGCGAAGGCGACUACCUGGACUGAUACUGACACUGAGGUGCGAAAGCGUGGGGAGCAAACAGG
Molecule: ribosomal RNA, 425 nt
Filed under: uncultured bacterium
Lineage: Bacteria
Description: partial 16S ribosomal RNA
Rfam family: Bacterial small subunit ribosomal RNA
Source: RNAcentral